AUACGUAGGGGGCGAGCGUUGUCCGGAAUGAUUGGGCGUAAAGGGCGCGUAGGCGGCCCGGUAAGUCUGGAGUGAAAGUCCUGUUUUUAAGAUGGGAAUUGCUUUGGAUACUGUCGGGCUUGAGUGCAGGAGAGGGAAGUGGAAUUCCCAGUGUAGCGGUGAAAUGCGUAGAGAUUGGGAGGAACACCAGUGGCGAAGGCGACUUACUGGACUGUAACUGACGCUGAGGCGCGAAAGUGUGGGGAGCAAUCAGGAUUAGAUACCCUGGUAGUCCACACUGUAAACGAUGAAUGCUAGGUGUAGGGGGUAUCGACCCCUUCUGUGCCGCAGUUAACACAAUAAGUAUUCCGCCUGGGGAGUACGGCCGCAAGGUUGAAACUCAAAGGAAUUGACGGGG
RNAcentral lists this ribosomal RNA (397 nucleotides) under uncultured bacterium. RNAcentral's name for it is "partial 16S ribosomal RNA". It matches the Rfam family "Bacterial small subunit ribosomal RNA", at positions 523 to 918 of the family's 1533-position model. The record is from RNAcentral.